AUGAAUCAUCGAAUUUUUGAACGCACAUUGCACUCUCCUCGGAGAGUAUGCCUGUUUGAGUGUCAGCCUAUAAAAAUCGACAUCGUUGCUCUUGCUCGGUGGCGUUCGUCGGAAAUUGGGUCAUCUUAAAUCUUUUUGAUUUAAGCGACUUAACAUUUUCUAUUGGUUCCAUGAACGUUUCUUAGAUCUAUUUCUGGACACGCUUAAGGUAUCCAUUUUUACUAGGUGUAACCCUCAUAUCGGAUCGCGUCCAUCAGCUUUCAUG
This 265-nucleotide unclassified non-coding RNA is filed under the name Glomus sp. RNAcentral's name for it is "partial contains 5.8S ribosomal RNA and internal transcribed spacer 2". The stretch from base 1 to 65 matches the Rfam family "5.8S ribosomal RNA", at positions 84 to 154 of the family's 154-position model. The record is from RNAcentral. Lineage: Eukaryota; Fungi; Glomeromycota; Glomeromycetes; Glomerales; Glomeraceae.